Long non-coding RNA from Solanum pennellii, 1562 nucleotides. RefSeq lists it as uncharacterized. The record is from RefSeq and is a predicted model, not a curated record. Lineage: Eukaryota; Viridiplantae; Streptophyta; Magnoliopsida; Solanales; Solanaceae. The transcript has 3 exons.
GCCAACCUCUCUUAUAUUACUACUCUUGUAUUUCCACUACCAUAUAAAUAAAAUUGUUGUUGUUUCUACUUAGAAGAUUUAUUGUUGAGAGUCUACUCUAAGUAAAGUUUCGGUCAUUGAGGUGUUUCGAAGGCGACUCAAAGAAGUCUUGGAUCUCUUAUUCAUCCAAGUAGGGAAAAAUUAACACUCGAAGGAAUGCGUCAUGAAGGCUUGAAGAGCAGAUUGCCAAUGCAGGAGCUCCUCCCCGUGGUGAUCAAGUUCCUCCUCUUGAAGAAGAUGAUAAUGUUGAACAAGCUUCGGUCAAUCCUUCACCUUUGACGGAUGGUGACAUAAGGGUUUCCCGUAACCAAUUGGCCCAAACAAUAACUACACAAGCCCAAGCUAGGAUGGCUGAAGCUAGCCAUGACGUUGUACCCCAUCCAAAUCAACAAGUUCUUACCAUGACCUCCCGUCUAAGGGACUUCACUCGGAUGAACCCUCCUACUUUCUACGGGUCUAAGGUUUAAGAAGACCCCCAAGAGUUCAUCGAUCAAUUCUAUAAGAUACUAUUGGCUAUGGGGUUGUCCACAAGUUAGAAGGCUGAGUUGGCCACUUAUGAACUCAACGACGUGGCUCAAGCAUGGUAUGCCCAAUGGAGAGAUAAUAGGCCAUUAAGGGGUGGUCCGGUGACUUGGGAGAUCUUCCAGAAGACUUUUCUUGAUCGGUUCUUUCCUAGGGAGAUGAGGGAAGCUAAAGUGGUGGAGUUCAUCAACCUUCGACAAGGAGGUAUAAGUGUUCAUAUAUACUCCUUGAAGUUCACUAAAUUGUCGAAAUAUGCUCUUUCUUUGGUUUCCGAUCCUAAAGAUGAAAUGAGCCGCUUUGCGACGGGGGUGUCGGAUGAUUUGCAAGAGGAUUGUCAUUCGGCUAUGCUACAUCACAACAUGAACAUUUAUCGUCUUAUGGUGCAUGCCAAUCAUGUGGAAGAUUCUAGGGCUAAGAGAAAAAGUACAAAUGCUAAGAGGGCAAGAUCUUUUUAUGAAGGUUCUUCAAAGAAUAGGCUUGAAAUACAAGACAAGCCUUGAUUUAAGAAGAGGGUUUCUAAUCAAGUUCCUUCCAAGUUACCUAAGGCUAGUAGUGAUAGGGUGUUUAACCCUAAGCCUAAGAAGGGAAUAGGUACUAGUUCACAAACUGAGAAGCCAACUUGUGGAAAGUGUGGCAAGAAGCACUAUGGUGAUUGUCUUAAGGGGACGGAAAAAUUUUUGGUUGUGGUAAAAGUGGGAACAAUGUUAGGGAUCUCCCUAAUGUGAAGGUUCAAGACAAUGAUAGUGGUCAAGAUCAAGCAAGUGGUUCAAAUGAGGCUCCAAAGAAGAACCACUUCUAUGUUCUCUCCUCUAGGGGUGAGUAAGAGACUUCUCCUGAUGUGGUGACCAGUAUUUUGAAAGCUUUCUCUGUUGAUGUAUAUGCAUUACUUUAUCCCGGUGCUACUUUAUCAUUUGUCACCCCUCUAGUAGCCAAAAAGUUUGAUAUUUUGCCCGAUAUUUUACAUGAACCUUUUAUUGUGUCUGCUUCGGCAGGUGAGUCGG